UGCAAGCGGACCGAUGGAGAGCUUACCUCCCUGAUGUUAGCGGCGGACGGGUGAGUAACACGUGGGUAACCUGCCUGUAAGACUGGGAUAACUCCGGGAAACCGGGGCUAAUACCGGAUGGAUGUUUGAACCGCAUGGUUCAAACAUAAAAGGUGGCUUCGGCUACCACUUACAAAUGGACCCGCGGCGCAUUAACUAGUUGGUGAGGUAACGGCUCACCACGGCAACGAUGCGUAGCCGACCUGAGAGGGUGAUCGGCCACACUGGGACUGAGACACGGCCCAGACUCCUACGGGAGGCAGCAGUAGGGAAUCUUCCGCAAUGGACGAAAGUCUGACGGAGCAACGCCGCGUGAGUGAUGAAGGUUUUCGGAUCGUAAAGCUCUGUUGUUAGGGAAGAACAAGUACCGUUCGAAUAGGGCGGUACCUUGACGGUACCUAACCAGAAAGCCACGGCUAACUACGUGCCAGCAGCCGCGGUAAUACGUAGGUGGGAAGCGUUGUCCGGAAUUAUUGGGCGUAAAGGGCUCGCAGGCGGUUUCUUAAGUCUGAUGUGAAAGCCCCCGGCUCAACCGGGGAGGGUCAUUGGAAACUGGGGAACUUGAGUGCAGAAGAGGAGAGUGGAAUUCCACGUGUAGCGGUGAAAUGCGUAGAGAUGUGGAGGAACACCAGUGGCGAAGGCGACUCUCUGGUCUGUAACUGACGCUGAGGAGCGAAAGCGUGGGGAGCGAACAGGAUUAUAUACCCUGGUAGUCCACGCCGUAAACGAUGAGUGCUAAGUGUUAGGGGGUUUCCGCCCCUUAUUGCUGCAGCUAACGCAUUAAGCACUCCGCCUGGGGAGUACGGUCGCAAGAAUGAAACUCAAAGGAAUUGACGGGGGCCCGCCAAGCGGUGGAGCAUGUGGUUUAAUUCUAACAACGCGA
This 922-nucleotide ribosomal RNA is filed under the name Bacillus subtilis. RNAcentral's name for it is "bacterial SSU rRNA". It matches the Rfam family "Bacterial small subunit ribosomal RNA", at positions 56 to 964 of the family's 1533-position model. The record is from RNAcentral. Lineage: Bacteria; Bacillati; Bacillota; Bacilli; Caryophanales; Bacillaceae.